This 1405-nucleotide ribosomal RNA is filed under the name uncultured bacterium. Its description in RNAcentral is "bacterial SSU rRNA". It matches the Rfam family "Bacterial small subunit ribosomal RNA". The record is from RNAcentral.
CCUUAGAGUUUGAUCCUGGCUCAGGAUGAACGCUAGCUACAGGCUUAACACAUGCAAGUCGAGGGGCAGCAUAGAAGUUAGCUUGCUAACUUCGGAUGGCGACCGGCGGAUGGGUGAGUAACACGUAUCCAACCUGGCCUUUACAAUGGGAUAGGCUUUCGAAAGAAAGAUUAAUACUGUAUGUUCCGUGAUCUCCGCAUGGAGAUUCCGGCAAAGAUUUAUCGGUAAAGGAUGGGGAUGCGUUCCAUUAGGCAGUAGGCGGGGUAACGGCCCACCUAACCGACGAUGGAUAGGGGUUCUGAGAGGAAGGUCCCCCACAUUGGAACUGAGACACGGUCCAAACUCCUACGGGAGGCAGCAGUGAGGAAUAUUGGUCAAUGGGCGCGAGCCUGAACCAGCCAAGUAGCGUGCAGGAAGACGGCCCUAUGGGUUGUAAACUGCUUUUGAAGGGGAAUAACAGAAUCUACGUGUAGAUUUUUGCAUGUACCUUUCGAAUAAGGAUCGGCUAACUCCGUGCCAGCAGCCGCGGUAAUACGGAGGAUCCGAGCGUUAUCCGGAUUUAUUGGGUUUAAAGGGUGCGUAGGCUGGUUUUUAAGUCAGCUGUGAAAUACCGACGCUUACCGUCGGCACUGCAGUUGAAACUGGGAGCCUUGAGAGUGCAAGAGGCAUGCGGAAUUCAUGGUGUAGCGGUGAAAUGCAUAGAUAUCAUGAAGAACCCCGAUUGCGAAAGCAGCAUGCUGGGGCAUAUCUGACGCUGAGUCACGAAAGUGCGGGUAUCAAACAGGAUUAGAUACCCUGGUAGUCCGCACAGUAAACGAUGAAUACCAGCUGUUGGCGAUAGACAGUCAGCGGCGUAAGCGAAAGCGUUAAGUAUUCCACCUGGGGAGUACGCCGGCAACGGUGAAACUCAAAGGAAUUGACGGGGGCCCGCACAAGCGGAGGAACAUGUGGUUUAAUUCGAUGAUACGCGAGGAACCUUACCCGGGCUUGAAUUGCCACCGAAUAAUCGAGAGAUCGAUUAGCCGUAAGGCGGUUGUGAAGGUGCUGCAUGGUUGUCGUCAGCUCGUGCCGUGAGGUGUCGGCUUAAGUGCCAUAACGAGCGCAACCCUUAUCUUCAGUUACCAGCGCGUAAUGGCGGGGACUCUGGAGAGACUGCCGUCGUAAGAUGUGAGGAAGGUGGGGAUGACGUCAAAUCAGCACGGCCCUUACGUCCGGGGCUACACACGUGUUACAAUGGGGGGUACAGCAGGCAGCGGCCGUGUGAACGGUAGCUAAUCCGCAAAGCCUCUCUCAGUUCGGACUGGAGUCUGCAACCCGACUCCACGAAGCUGGAUUCGCUAGUAAUCGCGCAUCAGCCAUGGCGCGGUGAAUACGUUCCCGGGCCUUGCACUCGCCGCCCGUCAAG